GUGCUCACUUUGGCAGCACAUAUACUAAAAAAUUGGAACAAUACAGAGAAGAUUAGCAUAGUCCCUACACAUGGAUGACACGCAAAUUCAUGAAGCGUUCCAUUAAAAA
Molecule: small nuclear RNA, 109 nt
Filed under: Prolemur simus (greater bamboo lemur)
Lineage: Eukaryota; Metazoa; Chordata; Mammalia; Primates; Lemuridae
Source: RNAcentral